This 57-nucleotide transfer RNA is filed under the name Bos taurus (domestic cattle). It matches the Rfam family "tRNA", at positions 8 to 63 of the family's 71-position model. From Rfam's summary of the family: Transfer RNA (tRNA) molecules are approximately 80 nucleotides in length. Their secondary structure includes four short double-helical elements and three loops (D, anti-codon, and T loops). The record is from Rfam by way of RNAcentral. Lineage: Eukaryota; Metazoa; Chordata; Mammalia; Artiodactyla; Bovidae. RNAcentral also lists the same sequence under 4 other names.
UAGCUCAGUAGGCAAAGAAUCUGCCUGCAAUGCAGGAGACCCAGGUUCAAUCCCUGG